ACAGAGAAACUGGCAGAAAAUGAAUCCAUGGAGAUUUUGACAAGACCCCUCUAAGCAAGAUCUAAAGACAACAUCAGAUGGAGUUGUCUGUGGAUUAUGUACGUAUUGUCAGAGACAUUCAUGCAAAAUAAUGGGUUUGGUGGUGACAGGGUUACAGCCACAACAAGAAAGUGAGAUACAGUUAGUGGAAUUCUCAAGUGCUCUCUUAGGAUGAAUAAACCUUAAGAAAGAACACCCUGCUUUUGUAACAGAUGAAGAAAGGCUAUGGAAGAGACAGAUUCUGGAGGAUGCAGCAUUCAAGGUUCUAUCUUGGAAGCAGAGACUGUGCCCUCACCAGAUGCUGAACCUGCUGAGCACCCUGAUCUUCCACUUCACCUUCAUCAGAACUGUGAGAAUUAACUUUCUAUUAUUUAUAAAUUACUCAGUCUAAGAUAUUUUGUUAUAGCAGCAGGAUCAGAUUGAGACAAGGAAUUUAUACCAAUUUAGACUAUGCAUGAAUCCACAAGAAUCCAAGUGGCACAAGAAUCUAGCACCAAAAUGGCAGCUCAGGGAAAGCUGAUUCAGUUUAACGUUCAAAAGAAGAGGCAAAACUAAUUCUAGAAACUUGUUCCCUUGAGAUGCUCGGAGACGUGCCCUGGUUUAGAAAGAAAAUACAGAAUGGAAGCUUUGCUCUAAAAGACAGGUUCUUGCAUUAGAAAAAGGGUUACUUCGGACUCACUGGCUCUAAAUAAAUUAGUCAGGAGAAAACUAAUGAAUGUUACCAUGGAAUUAUCCAUAGGACUUAACCUUCUCAAAAUAGUUGUGAGUGGGAUGAAAGAGCAACAAUGAGUUAACCAGAGACACUGGAAGGUGUUAAUUAGAAAAAAAAUAUAUCGUAUAGAAACAAAUGUUGGUACAAGCAUACAAGUAAAAUUUUCAACUGUGUCAUUAAUACUUUCAUUGUAUAAUUAAUUUCUAGGGUGCUAAGAAUUCUGAAUUUAUUGAGGAAAUAAAUGUCUGAUUGCAACAAAAGAAAACUUGUCUGGCUUUGGGAAGGAAGAGGCUUAGGAAAAAAAUUAAAGGCGUCUUUACUAGAAGUUCAAGACUGGGGCUGUGGCUGAGAUGUCACAUGGCAGAUAGGAUCACAAAUUUCUGUUGUAUCUGGAUGGAGAUCAGCAGGAGGAUCUAUGGGUGAGAAGAAGCACAGUUACAGAUGGAUUCUAGAGCCUGCUUGCUGACACAGGCUUGCAACUGCGGACUUUAUAAGCUUAGUUUUUAAUCUGCUAUCAGCUAGCAUAAUACCAUAAAUGCAUAAGAAACUAAGUAUUCAGUCUUACGAGAAAUGCUAUCUUGACCUGACCCUUUCUCCAAAUAAAUUGACAAAAUAUCUCAUCGUCUAGGAUGCCAGACAGAAAUACCAGUUGCAAUGUUUUGUUGCAUAAAGUUUA
This 1427-nucleotide long non-coding RNA is filed under the name Homo sapiens (human). Its description in RNAcentral is "non-protein coding LINC00882:63". Lineage: Eukaryota; Metazoa; Chordata; Mammalia; Primates; Hominidae. The record is from RNAcentral.